Long non-coding RNA from Anneissia japonica, 1150 nucleotides. RefSeq lists it as uncharacterized. NCBI's taxonomy places the organism in Eukaryota, Metazoa, Echinodermata, Crinoidea, Comatulida, Comatulidae. The transcript has 3 exons. The record is from RefSeq and is a predicted model, not a curated record.
AAAAUGUUCAAAUUUUACUGCAACCGCAGGAGGGCGAAUGUUCCAUAGAUUUUAAUGCAAAUACGCGGAGCAGCUCAUUCUUCUGCUAUUUAAGUUCUUUGCUAGGGCCUAGAAAAUGUAGCAAUAAAUUUCUAGGCCUUCAACAGAUAAUUUCUAGGCCAGGUUGACAUCCAGUGCUCUCAUAAAACAUGGUUAUCAGACAAAUUCGAAACUUUUUCUCAAGGAAAGAUCCACAACUAUUGAAGAAACGACUCGCCAUAAUAUAUGCUGCCUCAGUUUGGUCUAUUUUUGGAAUAGCGUUUGUGAAAUACAAGUCCAAUAAAGAUGCCUUCCAAAAACCGUUAAAGGUGGAUGAAAAUGAAAAGCCAAGCUGGAGAAGAAACAAAGAUGAACAAUAUGCAAGAAAUCAAGAGAUUGCCGAGCAUGUAGGAGAUAAUGUUUACACUCCCCUUGAAUUUCUAGCCUAAAUCUGAUCGGAUGAUAAGUAACGAUGAUGUACUGCACUGUUGCAUGUCAAGAUACUAUAAAACCUCGAAUAGAAGCCCUGGGCUUCAUUUUUUUUUUUUUUUUUUUUUUGCAAACUUUGGAUGGGCUUCUUUUCGAGAUGGGUUUCUUUUCAAGAUCCAUGAUCUGUAAGAAAUUUUUGCAAAAAUUUUUUUUUCAUGUGCCUGCCUCCUCUUUACUUGUAACUGUUGGAUUGUUAAGGAUUGGAGAAUAUUUUACACUCAGUGGCUGGAAUUCCUGUGGAAGAGUUAAACAACUAGUUUAUAGGCCACACAGUAAAUAUUGAGGCAUUUUUGAGGAAUAUAAUUAUUUAAUAGGAAAAUACACUUGUGUAUACAGUAUUACUUUGUUUUGUAAUAUAAAGAUGUGAAGUAUUUUAAGUGAAUACAGAAUACAAAAUACUGCACAGAAAUCUUUGUCUGUAUAAACUUGUUUUGUUGACUGACCUCAUAAAUUACACAUAAUCAACUUGAAAACUACAAUUCAAUAUUUGAUUUACUUUGUACUAUACAUUAGCUUUUAGUUGAAAACUAAUUUCCAUGACAUUAAAGAUACAAAAAUAAUACCAUUACUAUAUGUUUUACAUAGAGCUGUAAAUUGAAUGGCAGUGAAUCUAUGGAUUGUUUAUUUAUAUACUGCAAAUCUG